UGAGCAUGUGUUGCAAAAAUAGAAAAAAAUGAUGCUGGACCAUCAGAUGAGAAAUCGAUGGCACAGGUCCGGACGGAGUGAUCUCUGCACAAAAUUUGCAAAAGGGUCCGAUUUGGUUUCGAUGCCCUCCCGAUUCAAUCCCAAAUCCCGUACGCAGCGGUGUCUCGCAGGACGAAAAAUCGUCCUCGUCGGCGGCGGCGGCGGCCCAGAUCCUGAGCCAAGCUAGGCUCCUGGAUCAGCUCAUGGACGUGCUCCCUCCCCCCCUUGCGACCCAGCACUAGCUCGACGGUGGUGGACUCCUCGCCUCCUUCCCGACCGGCCGCUUUUAGGUGCUACGAACACUCCACCAAGGUGGUUUGUUCUUCAGUAGGAAAGGGAAAUGUCACUCACUCUGGCUCUGCGGAGCGGCUCGAUGUCCCACGAGACGUAGACCCCCAUGCCGCCAGGGCCCUCGAGGAACUCGACCCCGUCUGCGAUCAUCAUCCAAGCGUACCUGACCCGGUAGAAGUCAAGGUCCAACAAUGUGUGAAUGCCAAGGUCCAAGGAUUAUGUAAUACUGAGAAAGGGGCAAGUUGUAACAUGCUCAUGUCUGUCCUAUAUUAGUAGAGAUUGAAUUGUGCUGCACUAUUGCAAUCUGUGCUCCUUUGGUGAUGGAUAUAUCGGUUCAUGUACAUUGUUAUUUGUAUA
Long non-coding RNA from Triticum aestivum (bread wheat), 687 nucleotides. RefSeq lists it as uncharacterized. Lineage: Eukaryota; Viridiplantae; Streptophyta; Magnoliopsida; Poales; Poaceae. The record is from RefSeq and is a predicted model, not a curated record. The transcript is spliced from 3 exons.